CAGGUCUUCUGGAAACACAAAUACAACUCGGAAGACAGCAUUGUAAGUUUUUCUGCUGGGGAAAGUUUCCUCAGAGCUGGAAUGCCUGCAGACAGGAGUUCAGGUCACCCUCCACAUCUGUCACCAUUUGCUACACUUCUAAAGAAGAUCUCUGUAGAUCAUGUGCCAAUUUGUUGGGGGCAGCUAUCCAUCAAGGCAGAACCCAGAGUAUUCAUCUCGACACCUGGCAGCUGCCACCUACACAGAACAGACGCUGCCCUGAAGGAAUAUCAGUGACAACUCCUCUGAGAGAGCCACAGCACCCUGUGACAUGUGUGCAGACCGGGAGGGACUCCAAAGAGAGAAGGCCUGUGUGGGAUUUCUGUAAAUCUCACACCCAGCCUGCAUAUGUCUUGCACCCAAGAAGGACAGGGUGUCUCCAGAGACCCUGACUCCAUUUGACAAUAUCUUAAAUGUCA
Molecule: long non-coding RNA, 458 nt
Filed under: Cricetulus griseus (Chinese hamster)
Lineage: Eukaryota; Metazoa; Chordata; Mammalia; Rodentia; Cricetidae
Description: lncRNA (ENSCGRG00015031376.1)
Source: RNAcentral